AGUAUUACAGCUCUUUCCAAAGCCCGUAUUUGAUAACUUUGGCAAGAUUUGUAAAUACUAG
RNAcentral lists this microRNA precursor (61 nucleotides) under Panagrellus redivivus. Its description in RNAcentral is "microRNA prd-mir-7960 precursor". Lineage: Eukaryota; Metazoa; Nematoda; Chromadorea; Rhabditida; Panagrolaimidae. The record is from miRBase by way of RNAcentral.